ACUCGAGUUUUCAUCUCACUGAAAAUUCAAAAUCAAAAUCAAAACCAGCUGAGAUAGUUACUCGGGUGCCUUCCUUCAGCUUAUUCAAAAGAACACAGAAUGAACGGCUUUAAGACAUGUCAUGGAAAAUGUUAAGAGAAGACGGUCUCUUCUUCUGUGUUGGUGCCUGUUAAUUUCACACCUUGAAGAGAGUCCUCAUAUCAACAAUGAAGCGUCUAUUUUUAAGACACUGAAUUAAAGAUUAUUUAUGAAGAGGUAACAACAACAAAAAAGUCAAAACGGAGUGUCACUCUGGCAUCGACAUGGUGUUCCUGAUUGCUCUUGACUAGGAUUUUUAAAGGCUUAAUGGUAAAUAUAUGCUUGUUUGUAGUUUAAUGAAAUCACCGUAGGUUCGUUUCUGAUUUUGAAGUAUAAAUGUUUGUGAACCUUUUCUUAUAUUUUUAAAAAUAGUGCAUUUACAUGCUAUUCUCAUAUCUCCCUUGUUACAAAGAUAGUAUCACCGACACAGUGCACUGUACAUGACAGAGAAGAAAGACAAUGACUAGGUGCUGUCUCCGUGCCACGUAGUUUAGUGAUGUUUACUUCUCCUUGCAAUGUUCUGCCAUUACUCUCCCCUUCUCAGUGGUUCCUGCACAACCUUUAUAAGAAUGCGGCAGCACUGCUCCAAGAAAGUACUCGGGGGGCAAGAACGGAUGGAGACAGCAACCCCAGAGGAGUGGGACAUGGACAAUGGCGAGGUAGCAGAGUGCAGCUCUGUCCAGAGAAAGCUGUGUCCACCCACCACCUGCACAGGGGAUGCCAUGUUGCUGGACACAGAGACCCAUGGAACCCGCCAGAGCAGCAAAAUGACAAAGAGCCCUCCUGUCCUGCUGAGCGGUGACCAGUUACCCAGGAAGAGCCUUCCUCCCAGAGCUGCUGGGCUUGGAAGGGGCGACUCUCAAAUCACGCUCCUCCCCCUGCCCUGCCCCACCUGCGUCUCAGAGGGCCACGCUGUUGCCCCAUCCCACCGCCCUUGA
This 1016-nucleotide long non-coding RNA is filed under the name Oryctolagus cuniculus (rabbit). Its description in RNAcentral is "lncRNA (ENSOCUG00000031460.1)". Lineage: Eukaryota; Metazoa; Chordata; Mammalia; Lagomorpha; Leporidae. The record is from RNAcentral.